Molecule: unclassified non-coding RNA, 532 nt
Filed under: Hevea brasiliensis (rubber tree)
Lineage: Eukaryota; Viridiplantae; Streptophyta; Magnoliopsida; Malpighiales; Euphorbiaceae
Source: RNAcentral
GAUGAAGGCAGACUAAGAAUGACUUCAGAUAUUGACCUAUGAUUUAGAAGUAAUAGAUGUUCUGCAAAAUUUUCAAGGGUUAAUACAAUUUUUCAUUUUGAACCAACUUUGCAAGGAAGAGUGCACAAAUUUUCCAUUGAAAAGCCUACUGAUCUCCUUUAUGGUAAAAGAUUUGCAAAUUUUCAAUUCUAUCCAAUUCUGUAAAUUUUAUCAAUUUGCUCCGUGUUCUUCUGGAUUUGUAACAAUUUUAUCCAACAGUUGAGGGGCAUGUGCAAUUGAUGAUGUGUCAUCAUGGUUUUAAAUAAUAGAAGUUACGUAACAUAACGGUCAUUAUUUGUAACUUUUUGGGACUAACGUUACCAAUAGUACCUUUAAAAUAACAGUCAAAAAAUUAUAAUAGGAAUGGCCAUUAUGCAUUCGAUACCCACAUGGGCAAAUGGAUUCUUUUUAUUUGUGACGCAGAGAGACAAAAAGAUUAUUUUGUUUUUAGUUUCUAUACUUCUCCAUCUAUUUCUCUCAUUUCCAUCUUCAC